Molecule: unclassified non-coding RNA, 329 nt
Filed under: soil metagenome
Description: partial contains 5.8S ribosomal RNA, internal transcribed spacer 2, and large subunit ribosomal RNA
Rfam family: 5.8S ribosomal RNA (bases 1-120)
Source: RNAcentral
GAUGAAGAACGCAGUGAAAUGCGAAAAGUAAUGUGAAUUGCAGAAUUCAGUGAAUCAUCGAAUCUUUGAACGCACAUUGCGCCCCCUGGUAUUCCGGGGGGCAUGCCUGUCCGAGCGUCAUUACAACCCUCAAGCUCAGCUUGGUAUUGGGCCCCGCCGCUCCGGCGGGCCCUAAAGUCAGUGGCGGUGCCGUCCGGCUCCGAGCGUAGUAAUUCUUCUCGCUCUGGAGGUCCGGUCGUGUGCUCGCCAGCAACCCCCAAUUUUUUUCAGGUUGACCUCGGAUCAGGUAGGGAUACCCGCUGAACUUAAGCAUAUCAAUAAGCGGAGGA